CCUACGGGAGGCAGCAGUAGGGAAUAUUGCUCAAUGGGGGAAACCCUGAAGCAGCAACGCCGCGUGAAGGAUGAAGGUUUUCGGGUUGUAAACUCCUUUUGUUAGAGAAGAUAAUGACGGUAACUAACGGAUAAGCACCGGCUAACUCCGUGCCAGCAGCCGCGGUAAUACGGAGGGUGCGAGCGUUAGUCGGAAUCACUGGGCGUAAAGAGCACGUAGGCGGGAUAGCAAGUCAGAUGUGAAAUCCUAUGGCUUAACCAUAGAACUGCAUGUGAUACUGUUAUUCUAGAGUAUGGGAGAGGUAUGUAGAAUUCUUGGUGUAGGGGUAAAAUCCGUAGAGAUCAAGAGGAAUACUCAUAGCGAAGGCGACCAGCUAGAACAUAACUGACGCUGAUGCGCGAAAGCGUGGGGAGCAAACAGGAUUAGAUACCCGAGUAGUC
Molecule: ribosomal RNA, 440 nt
Filed under: uncultured bacterium
Lineage: Bacteria
Description: partial 16S ribosomal RNA
Rfam family: Bacterial small subunit ribosomal RNA
Source: RNAcentral